This is a long non-coding RNA of Hirundo rustica (Barn swallow), 736 nucleotides long. RefSeq lists it as uncharacterized. The record is from RefSeq and is a predicted model, not a curated record. Lineage: Eukaryota; Metazoa; Chordata; Aves; Passeriformes; Hirundinidae. The transcript is spliced from 3 exons.
GCCCCUUCCAGCACCCCCGGGGGAGCAGGGGGAGAUGCUGCCGGGAUGCGGGAUGCGGCGGCGGCCGGGCCGGGACCCCCCCGGGCGGGGAGAUAAGGAGGUUUAACCAACAGAUUCCCCCGGCUGAACCCCUCUGCCGGGCUGAAUUUAGCAGCAGAAGAGAUAACCAGCAGAUAAGGACUGAUACCCUGGGAGGACAGCGGGAGACGGGUAGGCGGCCGAGGAGAGGGAAGAGAAGCCGGAGGCAGCGUUGGGAAGGGCUGCCUAUCCAGAUGUGCCGGGUUCGGAACGCUCAUCUUUCCUUCCUUUGCAAAAUCCCUGACGGUUUUCUCUCCCAAAGCAGCGAUUUCCUAAAGAUUCGUUGAAUUCCUGCAGAAAAGCAGAUCUUCCCUUAAAAAAAAAAAACCUAUUUAAACUGAUUGAACCCGCCCAAGCAUCAAUACCAGGAGCAGAGAAGAUUUCAAGGACCUGUUUUGGCUUUGCUACUUCCAGGAAAAAAGGUACAAAGGCGAUUCCCGUGAAUUGUUUCGGGUGAGUGUGGCGGGGUCCAGCGUCUUUCUGCGGGGAAUUAUCGGUCGGUGGAGCCGGGAAUCGCGGGGAAGUUCAUCCCGAAAAUCGGAGAGGUGAGGAACUACACCGAGCCCAGCCCGGCGUGACCCAGCAGCCGGCACGGAGAGGGUGGAUUUAGGACAAAAUUUCUCCCGGAAAAAGCAGACGGGAUACAGCAAAUCGGUGU